UGGCGAACGGGUGAGUAAUAUAUCGGAACGUACCCUAGAGUGGGGGAUAACGUAGCGAAAGUUACGCUAAUACCGCAUACGAUCUAAGGAUGAAAGUGGGGGAUCGCAAGACCUCAUGCUCGUGGAGCGGCCGAUAUCUGAUUAGCUAGUUGGUAGGGUAAAAGCCUACCAAGGCAUCGAUCAGUAGCUGGUCUGAGAGGACGACCAGCCACACUGGAACUGAGACACGGUCCAGACUCCUACGGGAGGCAGCAGUGGGGAAUUUUGGACAAUGGGCGAAAGCCUGAUCCAGCAAUGCCGCGUGAGUGAAGAAGGCCUUCGGGUUGUAAAGCUCUUUUGUCAGGGAAGAAACGGUGAGAGCUAAUAUCUUUUGCUAAUGACGGUACCUGAAGAAUAAGCACCGGCUAACUACGUGCCAGCAGCCGCGGUAAUACGUAGGGUGCAAGCGUUAAUCGGAAUUACUGGGCGUAAAGCGUGCGCAGGCGGUUUUGUAAGUCUGAUGUGAAAUCCCCGGGCUCAACCUGGGAAUUGCAUUGGAGACUGCAAGGCUAGAAUCUGGCAGAGGGGGGUAGAAUUCCACGUGUAGCAGUGAAAUGCGUAGAUAUGUGGAGGAACACCGAUGGCGAAGGCAGCCCCCUGGGUCAAGAUUGACGCUCAUGCACGAAAGCGUGGGGAGCAAACAGGAUUAGAUACCCUGGUAGUCCACGCCCUAAACGA
This 717-nucleotide ribosomal RNA is filed under the name uncultured bacterium. RNAcentral's name for it is "bacterial SSU rRNA". It matches the Rfam family "Bacterial small subunit ribosomal RNA", at positions 96 to 809 of the family's 1533-position model. The record is from RNAcentral.